GAUGAACGCUAGCGGCAGGCCUAACACAUGCAAGUCGAGGGAGAAGCCCUUCGGGGCAGAAACCGGCGCACGGGUGCGUAACGCGUAUGCAACCUACCUUUCACAGGGGGAUAGCCCGAAGAAAUUUAGAUUAAUACCCCAUAAUAUUAUUGGAUGGCAUCAUUUGAUAAUUAAAAUUACGAUGGUGAAAGAUGGGCAUGCGUCCUAUUAGCUAGUUGGAGUGGUAACGGCACCCCAAGGCUACGAUAGGUAGGGGUCCUGAGAGGGAGAUCCCCCACACUGGUACUGAGACAGGGACCAGACUCCUACGGGAGGCAGCAGUGAGGAAUAUUGGUCAAUGGUCGGAAGACUGAACCAGCCAUGCCGCGUGCAGGAAGAAUGCCUUAUGGGUUGUAAACUGCUUUUAUAUGGGAAGAAUAAGGAGUACGUGUACUUNGANGACGGUNCCA
Molecule: ribosomal RNA, 449 nt
Filed under: uncultured bacterium
Lineage: Bacteria
Description: bacterial SSU rRNA
Rfam family: Bacterial small subunit ribosomal RNA
Source: RNAcentral